Molecule: long non-coding RNA, 685 nt
Organism: Diceros bicornis minor
Lineage: Eukaryota; Metazoa; Chordata; Mammalia; Perissodactyla; Rhinocerotidae
Exons: 3
Source: RefSeq, a predicted model, not a curated record
AGGUCCCAAGAUCUACAGCUGGCAAGCUGGAGACCCAGGAGAACUGGUGGUAUGGUUCCAGUCCAAGUCUAAAGGCCUGGGAACGAGGAGAGCCAAUGGUGUAUAUGAUGACCUCCUCGUAAAAGAACAUCUAUGCUGGCAUCCAUCAUCGAUGACAGCCGAAAGACCUACAGUGGCACCUCCAGCUGCGUAUGCCAGAUGGUCAACCUUCCUGAGCCCCUCCUCCAUAGCCCACUAGUCCCUGUAUAUCUGCCUCAAGAUUAUGUGGUUGUUUAAGAUUGUCUUUGGGACAUGAGUCCACCAUCUUCCAAUUUUCCUGGCUAAUUGAAUAAAUCCCUUUCUCAACCACCGACUCGUCUUGCAAUUGAUUGGCUUCAAGGUUGUGAUCACAAAACUGGGUGGCAGAGAUGUUGUCCAAGCUAUGAAGUGGAAGCACUGGUUUGUGAACACAGGCAAUCUGGCUCCAGAACCCAAGUGCCUAAAGGAAUAUUACCUAUGGGUAAUAGAAUUUCAAUUUUUCUGGAGUGUGAACGUGUAGUAAUAUAUAUAGCACAUUACAAAACUGGCUUUAGCCAGUUUCAGGAACUUGGAGAAAUGUUUAGUCAUUCCAAAAUGAGAUUCAAGAAGGUGCAGUUACUAGAAUGAUCAGCAGAGGGAGAACGGAGGCAGCGUUUGUAACGCACUG